Molecule: long non-coding RNA, 374 nt
Organism: Talpa occidentalis (Iberian mole)
Lineage: Eukaryota; Metazoa; Chordata; Mammalia; Eulipotyphla; Talpidae
Exons: 3
Source: RefSeq, a predicted model, not a curated record
UAAAUUUGCUCUCAGUUCAGGCUGCAUCGUUGGGUCCCGCCCCUUCUUCCCGCUGGGUUCCACUACCUGCAAGGCUGGAAUUGACAGCUACUGUGCAAACAAAAAAAGGCAACAAGCAUGCUGGGACCUUUCUGUCUGCUGUUUGGGUCUCACUUGUCCUGACAACAAAAAUCAUCAGUGGAAAGGGCCCAAUUUAGGAUGAAACAGCAUUUCCAGGAGCAGAAAAAUCAGUGGAUGGAGAUGCAGCAUGAUGGGGCUUAAAUCCUCUCAAAAUGGUACAUAUUACCUUCAACCAUAUUAAAUUGGACAAAACCAGUCACAUGGCCAAAUAUGACUCCAUGAGGUUUUGAGAAAAAGGAGAGAAGAUGAAAACA